RNAcentral lists this transfer RNA (71 nucleotides) under Marmota monax (woodchuck). It matches the Rfam family "tRNA". From Rfam's summary of the family: Transfer RNA (tRNA) molecules are approximately 80 nucleotides in length. Lineage: Eukaryota; Metazoa; Chordata; Mammalia; Rodentia; Sciuridae. The record is from Rfam by way of RNAcentral.
GGGGAUAUAGCUCAGUUGGUAGGGUGUUUGUCUUGCAUGACAAGGCCCUGGGUUCAAUCCCCAGUACCCCG